GACGGCUGUAAAAGUUCGACAUCAUGAAAUAAAACGUGAGUUUGUCUGGGGAUAUCUGAAAAGAGAGAAGAGGAUUCAUGAAUUAAUGAAACCACGUCUGUUCGUUGAGAAUAUGAGAGGAUUGACUUCAAUUGGCAGAGGGGAAACGGUCACCACUGAGGACACCUCCACUGCGGGCUUCACAGACGUUUCCAUAUCCACAUAAGGGCCCAGAAAACCUGGCCUGCAACGACGACCCUGGGAGAGG
Long non-coding RNA from Clarias gariepinus (North African catfish), 247 nucleotides. RefSeq lists it as uncharacterized. Lineage: Eukaryota; Metazoa; Chordata; Actinopteri; Siluriformes; Clariidae. The record is from RefSeq and is a predicted model, not a curated record. The transcript has 3 exons.